ACACGACUACAUUAGAUACCCGGGUAGUCCCAGCCCUAAACGAUGCGCGUUAGGUGUAUCGGUGACCACGAGUCACCGAGGUGCCGAAGGGAAACCGUGAAACGUGCCGCCUGGGAAGUACGGUCGCAAGGCUGAAACUUAAAGGAAUUGGCGGGGGAGCACAACAACGGGUGGAGCUUGCGGUUUAAUUGGAUUCAACGCCGGAAAUCUUACCGGGACCGACAGCAACAUGAAGGCCAAGCGGAAGACUUUGCCGGAUUAGCUG
This 265-nucleotide ribosomal RNA is filed under the name uncultured archaeon. RNAcentral's name for it is "partial 16S ribosomal RNA". It matches the Rfam family "Archaeal small subunit ribosomal RNA", at positions 717 to 982 of the family's 1478-position model. The record is from RNAcentral.